UAGGGAAUCUUCCACAAUGGGCGAAAGCCUGAUGGAGCAACGCCGCGUGUGUGAUGAAGGGUUUCGGCUCGUAAAACACUGUUGUAAGAGAAGAAUGACAUUGAGAGUAACUGUUCAAUGUGUGACGGUAUCUUACCAGAAAGGGACGGCUAAAUACGUACCAGC
RNAcentral lists this ribosomal RNA (165 nucleotides) under uncultured bacterium. RNAcentral describes it as "partial 16S rRNA". It matches the Rfam family "Bacterial small subunit ribosomal RNA", at positions 355 to 512 of the family's 1533-position model. The record is from RNAcentral.